Molecule: ribosomal RNA, 275 nt
Filed under: uncultured prokaryote
Description: partial 16S ribosomal RNA
Rfam family: Bacterial small subunit ribosomal RNA
Source: RNAcentral
UACGUAGGGGCAAGCGUUAUCCGGAAUUAUUGGGCGUAAAGAGUGCGUAGGUGGUUACCUAAGCGCAAGGUUUAAUCUUGAGGCUCAACCUCAUUCUGCCUUGCGAACUGGGCUACUUGAGUGCAGGAGGGGAAAGCGGAAUUCCUAGUGUAGCGGUGAAAUGCGUAGAUAUUAGGAAGAACACCGGUGGCGAAGGCGGCUUUCUGGACUGUAACUGACACUGAGGCACGAAAGCGUGGGGAGCAAACAGGAUUAGAUACCCUGGUAGUCCCUGA